UGUCUACCAUAUUGUUUCCAUAAGAAAUAAGAGCUGGAGAAGUUGCUAUUCAGAGAUCAGGAUCAAGAGAGAGAUUCUUCAGGAUGUUGGAAGAAUGUGAACACCAGUAUCAUUUCUGCUUGUGACAUUGAUUUGAGUCUUGGUGGGAACUUUUGGCUCCAUUCAUGCUGACUAGGUCAGCACAUGAAAAGAACAUAAACAUGGAGAGUGGAGCUUAGUGUACUGCACCUGGGAAGGGUGAUGAUGGCAGGAUGUCUUCAAGAAGAAUGCAAAGUAAUCUAUAGGGACAGAAAACACUGCUUGGGAACAGUUUCGGGCACAUGGGAAGGAGGAGUGGACUGCAAGGAGGCACAAG
This is a long non-coding RNA of Herpailurus yagouaroundi (jaguarundi), 355 nucleotides long. RefSeq lists it as uncharacterized. The record is from RefSeq and is a predicted model, not a curated record. Lineage: Eukaryota; Metazoa; Chordata; Mammalia; Carnivora; Felidae. The transcript has 3 exons.